RNAcentral lists this ribosomal RNA (254 nucleotides) under uncultured bacterium. RNAcentral's name for it is "partial 16S ribosomal RNA". It matches the Rfam family "Bacterial small subunit ribosomal RNA", at positions 524 to 776 of the family's 1533-position model. The record is from RNAcentral.
UACGUAGGGUGCGAGCGUUAAUCGGAAUUACUGGGCGUAAAGCGUGCGCAGGCGGUGAUGUAAGACCGAUGUGAAAUCCCCGGGCUUAACCUGGGAACUGCAUUGGUGACUGCAUUGCUGGAGUAUGGCAGAGGGGGGGUGGAAUUCCACGUGUAGCAGUGAAAUGCGUAGAGAUGUGGAGGAACACCGAUGGCGAAGGCAGCCCCCUGGGCCAAGAUUGACGCUCAUGCACGAAAGCGUGGGGAGCAAACAGG